UACUGCGGAGACAUUAACGAGUUCUGAAUGGGUUGUAGCUGGCCUUCCGAGGCAUGUGCACGCCCUGCUCAUCCACUCUACACCUGUGCACUUACUGUAGGUCGGUUUGGGUUCUUCGAGGUCUUCAUUGAUCUUGGGAGCUCUGGCCUUCCUAUGUAACCUACACACUCUUCAGUAUCAGAAUGUAUUCGCGAUAUAACGCAUAUAAUACAACUUUCAGCAACGGAUCUCUUGGUUCUCGCAUCGAUGAAGAACGCAGCGAAAUGCGAUAAGUAAUGUGAAUUGCAGAAUUCAGUGAAUCAUCGAAUCUUUGAACGCACCUUGCGCUCCCUGGUAUUCCGGGGAGCACGCCCGUUUGAGUGUCGUGUAAUUCUCAACCCAUACAUCCUUGUGGUGGAUGGGCUUGGAUUUGGAGGUUAUUGCUGGCUCCUAGCAGUCGGCUCCUCUUGAAUGCAUUAGCUUGAUUCCGUGCGGAUCGGCUCUCGGUGUGAUAAUUGUCUACGCCGUGACCGUGAAGCGUUUGGCGAGCUUCUAGUCGUCCUUCAAGGACAAUCUUACCUGACAUCUGACCUCAAAUCGGGCGGGACUACCCGCUGAACUUAAGCAUAUCUA
Molecule: ribosomal RNA, 612 nt
Filed under: Leifiporia rhizomorpha
Lineage: Eukaryota; Fungi; Basidiomycota; Agaricomycetes; Polyporales; Polyporaceae
Description: eukaryotic LSU rRNA
Rfam family: 5.8S ribosomal RNA (bases 212-365)
Source: RNAcentral